GCCAUGAGAAGGGCAGAAGAUUGAGAGGGGAGCAGAGACUUGGGCAGAGUAACUUGUCCAUUUAGUGUGAAAGGAUCUUGCCAAAACCUUAGAUAAUAGGAGCAGGAACCCACAAAGCUUGGUUUGAUUUUAUUUAUUUAUUUAUUUAUGGGACUCCUAAAUCUACUAGGUCUUCAACAGGCUGGCUGGUGAUGCCUGCAUGGCUUUCCUCUUGGAAUUAAGAGCAAAGGAAGCAGAGAAUUCAAAGUUUAAACUUAACACGGUGGUGCAAGCCUGCGUUUUCUCUUGUUCAUUGAAAUGGGAAUAUGAGUGGACCCUCACUUUGGAAUUCAGACAAAUCUGAACUAAUCGAAGCUACAGACGUGUAUGUUUAUAGCAAAAAAGAUGCCCUGGAUUUAAGGACUAUGUGUAUUAAAGCAAGUAUGAGAAGAAACAGCUUUUUAUGACAUUUGCACUCCUUUUCUUCAGCUCGUACAGAAGGCUGACAGCCUGUCUCACUCCCAUCAGAGAUAUCCCACCAGCUCCUUUAGGAGUUCAGCGUUGCAUUUGGCCUGUUCUGAUCUUCCUGAUCCCCUUAUUUUUGUGCUGCAACACCACCAUCCAGCAGAAAUCAGCGGAUGUACCCAGCACCACCUUGGGACUACAUGGAAAUCCAACAGAAAGGAGCAGAGAUGCUGAGAAGAGGCACUUUGUGGCUCAGAGGGAUUUCCUUGCUACCUGAAAAAGCCUCCUUGCAGUAGCUAUUAGAGAACCUACCCACCCAAAUGACUGUGCCCAUUUGCUCCAUGAUUAUUGCUGUUGAAGAGGCCUCGGUGUCAGUGUUUUGCUUUCCUCUGUGCUGCCAAUGUGCAAAGGCUCUGGGUCUGCUCAGCUACAUGGCACUAGAAGAGCUCUGAAAAGCAGCAGCUGAAAGAUGGAAGAGAGCAACAUCUGUUUUGAGACGAGAAAGACAUGAGAGAUGCAAUCAGUGGGUUGAUUUCCUGCCCCCCAACCCUGUGAGAUACCAGUUUGACCCAGAGGAGUUUUCUGUGAAAAUGAGUGUAAAAAGCUGCCCUAGGAUGUUUUACUUGGAAAGAUGACAAUCUUGUGAGAUUGUAAAAGGAACACAGCACCUCGUCAAUGAUGCCUAAGGACACUAUUUCCAUUACGGUAGCUGUUGCAAGUUUGAUUCCCGAGUGUUUGAUUCCCAAGUCUCUCUGAAGUGUUUGCUCAAAGGGUGAAUCAGUUACUCUUACUGGAAGUUCCAGUUUCUGGUCUGAAUCAGAUAUUUCCCUCUCUGAGGUCUCACUGGGAAAUCACAAGCCAGAAUUUGAAGUUUGAGUAUCGCUGUGUUGCUAGAUUAUUCAAAAGAGAUGUGGCAAACAAUUCCCUGUCCUCUCCUCUACACAUAUUAGUUGGGACCAAGCGUCUUGGCUUUGAGGACUCAGAUGUAAGCGUUGGUGUAGGCCUGUGAUGCAGACUUUGUGACCUACUCUAAAUUCAAGAUUAGUAAGAGACGUGAGACGCUACAUAAAUGAGAGCAAAGCAGCAUCCUCGUAUGCUGAGCAGUACCAUCUGCUCAGUGAGCAAAGGGUCUGCUGAGGUGAGGAAAAUCUCUGGCAGCCCAAGUUUCCAGAUGAAAGCACUCGGUCCCCAGGAAGCUUCCAGUGAGGUACUGAGAUCAUCAAGUAAGGAGCCUGAUACCUGAAAUGUGGCCUGCAGCAACCCAGAGACCUGGAACAGGACAGCAGCAGUGCUGAAGGAGCCAUGAAGAAGUCUCAGAAGCACUGAGAAGAGAGAAGAGACCCAGUCAGCCAAAGCAUCAACCCUCUGGGGACAGGAGGGAGAGGAGUGGCAGCAGUGAGGAGGUCCUGGUGACAGCCCCUGAGGCCUGCUGCAGCACAGAGGAGCUGUGUCAGAGAGGCUGUUGCCAUGACAUUUCUUUGGACAAACAUCUGGAGUUCUUGGACCUACUGAUGUGUUGCUACUGCGAGAGCCAAAAGCUCCGUCGCUGCUUUAAUUGAAACCCUGUUGCUCAAGGAGCAUUCAGCGCUGCCUCGAGUGAGUUCGAUGUCUCCGAGAGAAGGGAGACAUCCUUCAUAUCAGACACAUUUACAUGGAGAAAAGAAAAAUAGAGACCGUCAUUUUGCCCUUUGUGUGGUCACUCUGGAAGAAUUUGAUUUUAGUUGCAUGUAACCAAACCAGCUGCCUAGGGCCCCAGGCUGCAAGUGUAGGUAAGAGGCACGGCAUGUGGUAAGGAGCACAGCACACAGGGAAGGGCUCAAGCUUAUGUUUCACAGCUGGGGACUCUGUGAACCUGCCUUUGAUUUUGCUUUGCACUCUGGGUUUAAAAAAAAAAAAAAAAAAAAAAAAAAACAGCUGCUGACAACAGUGCUCCAGAAACAUCAGACCUUAUUUUUUGGGUCAUUUAGCUCUCAGAGCACCAGUUUUAAAAUGCCUUGUCCCAACUCUGCAAGUGCUUGACAUCCCUGAAAACUGUGUUCAGGGGGUCUGGAGUGAAACAGCGAGGUGGAUCUUACUGGAGACACCUAAUCUUGGGCUUAAAGGGUAUUAUGAGGCUGAAUGAAACGCUGCUAGUUGGAGCCCCUUAAUAUGCUUAGCGGUGUGUGCUGUGUGAUUAUUAAUAGGGCUUCCUGGGAAGCGCAUGCCUGUGUCAGUGCCACGUGUGAACUGCAGUUCAGAACCACUUGUAGUUUUGUCCCAUUGGCGUUCAAAGGAGAGGAAAGCUUUGUGUGUGCUCUAAGUGGAUUUAAUUCAGGUGUAUUGAAGAAAAAAAAUGAAGAGUAGAAAAGACCAUUAGCUAUUAGGAGUGCCAUUCAUCUUGCUCCUAGAAUGCCUUCUUUAUUCAACAGUGCUUUCUCACAGAGGGUUCUGUGUUUCCCUUACACCUUUGGUAUGUGUCUUUGAUUUUAUCAGCUUGCCUCUGAUUUCCCUGUCAGGGUUUGGUAAACUGUGGACUAUUCAUUUAACUCAGCAGCUUUGGAAAUCGUUUUGAAUAUUGCGUGAAUCACUGUACCAAAGGGAAAAGGAUGAAAAGGAGCGAGUGUGGAUUGGAUUGUAAAAUGUGAAAGGGGACACAGACAUACCCAUCUACGUGCAGUGACCCAGGGGCUCCUCCUGGGAUAGGACACCAGUGCUCAGGGCAGUUAGCACUCCCUUUCUCACAGUUUGAGUUCAAUGAGGUCACUUGGGGGAGCAUCUGGACUUGGCAGCAAGCUUCUUGUCAUUGCGGAAAGUUGGUGUGACCCCCCCUGAUUUGACUUUCGAGAAGAGGAAGAAGAUGGUUUUCCUGGUAGCCAGCAAGCCUUGCUCACAGGCUUCCACAGUAGCAAUGUUCAGAAACUCAGGAGCCUAGUGGGGCCAACUGGAGCUCAUGAGUGCUCAUGCACAUAUCACUGGGAGAAAAUAAAAGAGUGCUACAGGUUUUCUUUACCUAGGGUAAAGCCUCCUCUAGAGUCUGUAGCCAAAUCUUCCUCAUCUUUGAAAAAGACGCAGCAUAUUUUGUGUGAUUAGCACUUUGCUGGCUACAUUGCCUGCUGACCUAUCUGGCCAAAGUGUGCCUCUGUCUUUCUAACUCACUGCAAAUGUCCUUGUUCUUAACCUCUUCCAUUUUCCUUCUUCCCAGCUUUGCCAUCAAUGUUUUUCUUCUUUGAACAAAAGGAUACUUUUAUAUGCAGCCACUGGUCAGCUAUGUCCCUCUCUUUGCCACACUGACCUUCUUCAGAUUCUGCAUCCUUCUUUCCUUUUUCCUUUUUCCUUUUUCCUUUUCCUUUUUCCUUUUCCUUUUCCUUCCUUGUUUUCCUUUUCUGUUUCCUUUUCCUGUGCUGCUGGAAAUGCAUAAGGGGUGUUUAUCUUCUUUAAUACCCACACUGCUGUAAGCCACCCUUUGCCCUAGGGGUAAAGCCUGUGAGCUGGAAGUGAGCACCCUGGGGGCUGACUUCUGGACGAGCCCAAACAUGGAUUCAGAAGGGAACUCAGGAAACAGAGAGACCCUCCAUUUGUGCUGCAAGAGAGUUAGAUCAGCUUUAUUUUAGCGGCCUUUUUUGGUUGUUUUAGAUUUCACGUGUCUGUACAAGCUGUAUCAAUGCGUUUAUCCAGUUGCAAAGCAUCCCCUAUCUCCAAGCCCACUGUAAAAUUCCACACAUACUUAUAAGCUUAUACAUAAGGAGGUUUUCUUAAUUAAGGCAGAGACAGAAACUGUUAGCACAGAAGAAUUAUUAACACGUCUGAGGCAGAAGGAUUGCACUUGUUUCUUUGGACCCCUAGGUACAGAGAUAAAAUAGAAAAGGAAGUUUAUAGACAAAUGAUAUGACUGCAGAAAAGCUAAUUGCCUGAAGCAUUUAAACUUGGCUAAUGAUGUCCAGUGUUGAAAUUCUCAUCCCAAGGAGAUUUCACCCAAGGGAAAUCCUCAUCCUUAGUAUGCUGUUAAGAAGGAGAAAUCUCAAGGGAGGAAAUCACAGAACAACAUGCAAAGCUUAAUUCUAGUGAACUGCCAGGACCAGGUGGUGUUCAUCACAAGCCGUGAGGGAUCUGAGCUCCAAAACUGGAAAGUUCCUGACAAACACGUGCAAUGUAUCCCUUAAAAUAGUUCUUCCUGGUUGCUGUAAAACUGUCACCAACAAGCCUCACCUUCAAGAUGGAACCAAGAGUAACCUGGGGAAUUACAGGUGAAUGCACAAUAUCCUACACAGAGGGCAAGCAUUUCAGAGGAAUCAGAACGGAAACAUAAACUUAGAAAAACAAAAUUACAUCAUCUGACCAACAACACACUUCUGCUU
This is a long non-coding RNA of Anas platyrhynchos (mallard), 4778 nucleotides long. RefSeq lists it as uncharacterized. Lineage: Eukaryota; Metazoa; Chordata; Aves; Anseriformes; Anatidae. The record is from RefSeq and is a predicted model, not a curated record.